UAGGGAAUCUUCCGCAAUCGACGAAAGUCUGACGGAGCAACGCCGCGUGAGUGAAGAAGGAUUUCGGUUCGUAAAACUCUGUUGUUAGGGAAGAAAAAAUGUAUAGUAACUAUAUACAAAAGAGACGGUACCUAACCAGAAAGCCACGGCUAACUACGUGCCAGCAGCCGCGGUAAUACGUAGGUGGCAAGCGUUGUCCGGAAUUAUUGGGCGUAAAGCGCGCGCAGGUGGUUUAGAAAGUCUGAUGUGAAAGCCCACGGCUCAACCGUGGAGGGUCAUUGGAAACUAAUAAACUUGAGUGCAGGAGAGAAAAGUGGAAUUCCUAGUGUAGCGGUGAAAUGCGUAGAGAUUAGGAGGAACACCGGUGGCGAAAGCGGCUUUUUGGCCUGCAACUGACACUGAGGCGCGAAAGCGUGGGGAGCAAACAGG
RNAcentral lists this ribosomal RNA (429 nucleotides) under Verrucomicrobiota bacterium. RNAcentral's name for it is "Verrucomicrobia bacterium partial 16S ribosomal RNA". It matches the Rfam family "Bacterial small subunit ribosomal RNA", at positions 355 to 776 of the family's 1533-position model. The record is from RNAcentral. Lineage: Bacteria; Pseudomonadati; Verrucomicrobiota.